Brassica napus (rape) is the source of this 1109-nucleotide long non-coding RNA. RefSeq lists it as uncharacterized. NCBI's taxonomy places the organism in Eukaryota, Viridiplantae, Streptophyta, Magnoliopsida, Brassicales, Brassicaceae. The transcript is spliced from 2 exons. The record is from RefSeq and is a predicted model, not a curated record.
UUUAUAAAUAUGAUUUCAAACUAAACAAAUAAAGAUUAUUUUACAUUAUCAACUAUGGUUCUAGACUCAUGUAAAUAUUAUAUUUUUCUCAAAAACAACAAAAUACAAAAUAAUACACCAAAAUUUAUAGAAAAAUCAUCAAGUCAAGAAAUGUUAAUUUUAAAACUUAAUAUUUUGACAUUAAUAUAUACUUUUUUAUUUCUGUCACAUUAUAAUAUUUUAUAAUAUCAAAAUAUUAUAAUAUCAAAAUAUUAUAAUAGUAUUAAUUUAAUUUUAUAAAUAUAAUGUCAAACUACAAAAAUAAAAAUUAAUUUACAUUAUCAACCAUGGUUCAAGACUCAUGUAAAUGUUUUACUUUUCUAAAAACAACAAAAUAAUAUACCAAAGUUUAUAAAAAAAUCAUCAAGUCAGGAAAUGUUAAUUUAAAAACAUAAAGUAUCAAUAUAAACAAAAUAAUUCUGCGCACAGCGCGGAUCAGAAUCUAGUUAUAAUAUAUAUUUGAUUUUUAGUAUUGGUGGAUAUUUAAUACUCUUUUUGCACUUUGAUAGUCAAUUCAUGGAUUAUAUAUUGACUAAAAUUCUAUCAGAAUUAAAAAGAAACUAAUGUUAUAUUCUCUGAAAUCUUUUAAUAAUAUUUUUUUCUUUUAAUGUAUACAUGUUAUUAUUGUAUAUAUAAUCAAACAAAUUAAAGAAGAAUUCACCAAACAAGAAAAAUUAAAGCGAAUAUCUCUCAAAAAAAGUUUAUAAAAUCAUCUCUAAAAUGGUUAUUACCAUGAAAACUUUAGUAAUGUUUGUUUUCACUACUUUUUUCAUUAUAUCUUUUGCUGAUUCACUUUAUUGUCCAUAUCCUCCAACUGCGGCUACCAUUCCUGCUGAUUUUCCAGGUUACGGACCUAUAGUAUGCUUCAGACUCACUAAGCCGUGUUUAUCUGGAGGAUUGGGAGAGUGCCAAAAGCUUUGUGACGAGCGGGGUAAUGUUGUACAUCAGUGUAGUCAGGAUGAAUGUUAUUGUGAAAAAUUAAGUAUGCCUCGAACAUAAAAUAAACAUCAAUAUCUUUUAUGCAUUUUUACCAAUAGAUGAUAAGAAUAAAAUAAAUAAAUUUAAUCAAA